AACGAACGCUGGCGGCAUGCCUAACACAUGCAAGUCGAACGAGACCUUCGGGUCUAGUGGCGCACGGGUGCGUAACGCGUGGGAACCUGCCCUUAGGUUCGGAAUAACUCCCCGAAAGGGGUGCUAAUACCGGAUAAUGUCCUCGGACCAAAGAUUUAUCGCCUUUGGAUGGGCCCGCGUUGUAUUAGCUUGUUGGUAGGGUAAAAGCCUACCACGGCGACGAUCCAUAGCUGGUCUGAGAGGAUGAUCAGCCACACUGGGACUGAGACACGGCCCAGACUCCUACGGGAGGCAGGAGUGGGGAAUAUUGGAAAAUGGGCGAAAGCCUGAUCCAGCAAUGCCGCGUGAGUGAUGAAGGCCUUAGGGUUGUAAAGCUCUUUUACCCGGGAUGAUAAUGACAGUACCGGGAGAAUAAGCUCCGGCUAACUCCGUG
This 433-nucleotide ribosomal RNA is filed under the name uncultured bacterium. Its description in RNAcentral is "partial 16S ribosomal RNA". It matches the Rfam family "Bacterial small subunit ribosomal RNA", at positions 29 to 507 of the family's 1533-position model. The record is from RNAcentral.